RNAcentral lists this ribosomal RNA (530 nucleotides) under Bacillus licheniformis. RNAcentral's name for it is "bacterial SSU rRNA". It matches the Rfam family "Bacterial small subunit ribosomal RNA", at positions 837 to 1368 of the family's 1533-position model. Lineage: Bacteria; Bacillati; Bacillota; Bacilli; Caryophanales; Bacillaceae. The record is from RNAcentral.
CCCUUAGUGCUGCAGCUAACGCAUUAAGCACUCCGCCUGGGGAGUACGGUCGCAAGACUGAAACUCAAAGGAAUUGACGGGGGCCCGCACAAGCGGUGGAGCAUGUGGUUUAAUUCGAAGCAACGCGAAGAACCUUACCAGGUCUUGACAUCCUCUGACAAUCCUAGAGAUAGGACGUCCCCUUCGGGGGCAGAGUGACAGGUGGUGCAUGGUUGUCGUCAGCUCGUGUCGUGAGAUGUUGGGUUAAGUCCCGCAACGAGCGCAACCCUUGAUCUUAGUUGCCAGCAUUCAGUUGGGCACUCUAAGGUGACUGCCGGUGACAAACCGGAGGAAGGUGGGGAUGACGUCAAAUCAUCAUGCCCCUUAUGACCUGGGCUACACACGUGCUACAAUGGACAGAACAAAGGGCAGCGAAACCGCGAGGUUAAGCCAAUCCCACAAAUCUGUUCUCAGUUCGGAUCGCAGUCUGCAACUCGACUGCGUGAAGCUGGAAUCGCUAGUAAUCGCGGAUCAGCAUGCCGCGGUGAAUA